This 4253-nucleotide long non-coding RNA is filed under the name Anneissia japonica. RNAcentral describes it as "uncharacterized LOC117103290". Lineage: Eukaryota; Metazoa; Echinodermata; Crinoidea; Comatulida; Comatulidae. The record is from RNAcentral.
UCUCAUCAGCCCAUAGGCCAACACUAGCUUACAACUGUUCAGUAACAACAACAACUACCGUGUUUCUAACACAUACAAGAUACUGUUAUUCAAUCCUUUAAUUCAUUGAUUUCAAUCAAUUUGAAAACGAAAAAGACAACAUGAAGCCAACGUUUACUUGCAACGUAUGUAACAAAAUUUUCCAAACUCCUUCAACUACAAUCGACACCUUUCCCGUCAUACUGAUGUCAACCAGCACCAAUGCAAUAAGUGCGGUAAAGUAUUUGCAAGGCAUGACAAUUUUGUUCGACACUUUAACAACAAGCAUGGUAGUGAGAAUAAUGCGCAAAGUGGAUAUGGUACAGAUGAAAGAGAUGAACCUUCUACUAAGCGACAGCAGUUAUCUAACAAUGGUCGUGACUUUUAUCAAGUCACAGAUAUGACGGAAGUUGAUAUGAAGAAAUUCAAGACAAAAGCAAUCCAGUACACCGUUAAAUUCAACGACGAUUUAGAUAUUCAUGAUUCAACUACCCUCCUAAGUACGCUGCAUAAAGUUUUUCAGAGUCUCAUCAACAACUUGACGGAUGGGGCUCAUCCUGACGAUCUGAUUCGUAUGGAGUAGAGUGUCCGGAAUUGGAUUAUCCAAUACAACUUCCAAUAAUAAAAAAACGACAUUUGACAGCCGACCUAUUCCUUGCUCAGGUAGAACGAGUACUACAGUCGUACGAAAAUUCAGCAUCGAUGGUUCACUAGAAAUACAUAUUACGCACGUGAAAAUGCCCAGAGGAGGAAAGGCCAGAAAAAAGAGAUACGUCGACCUGGAGCGAUUCUUAAAAGAAAAACAAUGCAUUCUUCGAAUCCAAAAUAAAGACGAAUUGUGUUGCGCCCGUCCUAUAGUUACCGCAAAAGCUAAAAUUGAAAAACCCAAAAAAUGGGAGGCCAUUCGCAAGGGCUGCAAGAUACAACAGCAACUUGCUAUGGAUUUACACCAUGUAGCGGGAGUACCUAUAGCUAAAUGUGGAAUCAAUGAGAUUAAAACAUUUCAACAAAUAUUGCCAACAUUUCAAAUAAUCGUCGCUUCAUUAGAUUAUGGAAAUGCAGUUAUAUAACGAGGGCCGCCUGCAAAACAAAAAAUCUACUUGUAUCACCACAAUAAUUAUUAUGACAUUAUAACCAGUAUGCCCGCUUUUCUCAACAGAAGCUAAUUUUGUAUCGAAUGCAUGAAAGGAUACAACAAUAAGUUAGAACAUCGGUGUCAAAACACGUGUAAACUCUGCUUCCAAGGUAACUGUAUUGAAGAAAUUUGGGAAUAUUGUGAUGACUGUAAUAGAUCAUUUAAAAGUGGAAACUGUUAUAAAAAUCACCUUAAAAAACCUUCGACAUCUUAUGGGUUCGUAUGCGAUUUAUAUUAUAGGUGUAGAGACUGCGAUCAAUUCGUUAGCAAAAGACGGCACAAAGGAAAGCCACAUCAAUGUGGCGAAAAAUUCUGCGCGAUCUGCAAAACAUGAUCACCUUUGUUAUAUGCAACCAGUAAUUAAUGAAACAAAGAAUGAUAUAAGUGACGAAAUGAUGACGGGAGAAGUAAUGUAGUUAGCACAAGCUACAUUUUCUUUGACUUUGAAUGUAUUCAAGAAACUGGCAUCCACCAGCCGAACCUUUGUAUUGCCCAAAAAGUGUGUAAAGCAUGCAUCAACAUCGACUGGGGUGAAUCAUGUGUAGAGUGUGGUGAACGCGAAAAACAAUUCUAUAGACCCACCACUCGUGAAGAUUUUUGCAAAUGGCUUUUUAAUGAAGAAAACGCCGGUGCUAUUAUCAUUUGUCAUAACUUCAAAGGUUACGACUCAUACUUUGUUCUCCGAUACCUUUACGACAAUGCAAUUCUACCAGAAGUGAUCUACAAUGGAGCUAAAGUCAUGAGUAUUAAUGUAGCAUUUACAGACAUGAAAUUCAUAGACUCGUUCAACUUUCUUCCUAUGGCUUUGUCUAAACUUCCAGGGGCAUUUGGCCUUAAUGAGUUAGCAAAAGGAUAUUUUCCGCAUCUUUUCAAUACAAAAGCUAAUCAAGAGGCUGUCCUUUCCCAUUUGCCAGAUAUGCAUUAUUACAACCCGGGAUGUCCACUACGGAGAGAAAGAAAUUUGUUGAGUGGUACGAUGCACACAAUAACGAUGUGUUCAACUGUAAAUCGGAACUUUUAAAGUAUUGCCGAUCGGAUGUUGAUAUACUUCGUAGAUGUUGCUUGAAAUUUAGAUCUCUAUUUAUAGAAAUGACCGAGGAUGAAUGUAGUCCUGGAAUAGACCCCUUUCAAAACUGUAUUACGAUUGCGUCGGCGUGCAACUUAGUGUACCGCACCAAAUACUUACCACAGGACACUAUUGGAAUCAUUCAUCCCUUGGGGUACGCUUCGAAUGAUAAGACAAUCUAUCAAAGCUCUUCAAUGGCUGAAGUGGAUGUCUCAUAAAAAUGGACAAUAUAUUCAACAUGCUGCCAAUCAGGGUGAAAAAUGUAUUGGUAAAUACAAAGCCGAUGGAUAUAUCAAAGCAAACGAAGAGGAAAUAGUACUUAAGUUUCACGGCUGUCUGCCCCAUGGGCACACGUGUAUGGAGCGUGAAACAAAACAACCCCUAAACGGUUUCAUUAUGGAAGACUAUAGAUAAACGACGGUAUAUCACAGACCUAGGGUAUAAGUAUAUCGAGCAGUGGGAAUGCGAAUUUGACAAAGAGAUCAAACAAAACAAUGAGAUGGCCGAUUUCAUAAAAACAUUGACUAUUCCAUCAGCACUUGUCCCUCGUGAUGCUUUCUUUGGUGGUAGUACAAAUGCUGCUAAACUGUACUAUUUGGUUCAGCCCAACGAAACGAUCAAGUAUGUUGAUUUCACAAGUUUAUACCCCUUCGUUAACAAGGUUGGAAUAUAUCCAAUAGGACAUCCUAUAAUAAUAACAGAGAAUUUUAAAGAUAUUACCGAGUAUGAAGGUCUUAUCAAAUGUAAAGUACUUCCUCCUAGAGGGCUUUACCACCCAGUUUUACCGUACAGAGCAUCUGGUCGUUUAAUGUUUGGCAUUUUGAAAACACAUCGGUAUACGACCCUGUGACUAAGGAUGGUGGACUCUUCACAGCUUACGUUAAUGCUUUCCUCAAGUUAAAACAAGAAGCCAGCGAUUGGUGUAAGACCAAAGAACAACGAGAUACAUAUGUACAGUUGUACUUUGAAAAAGAAGGAAUUAGGCUAAAUCCCAUAAUAUAAAAAAGAACCAUGGUUUACGUGCUUUGGCCAAGCUCAUGUUAAAUUCAUUUUUGGGCAACGCCCAAACAUGACUAAAACCAGGUAUAUCGACGACCCAGAGGACUAUUUCGAAAUGAUGUCUCGCGAUGACACUGAGGUGCAUUAUGUAAACUUUGUAAAUGACCAGAUGGUAGAAGUACAAUGGCAACAAACUAAAGACUUUUUAUAACCGUCUGGUCGUACAAACGUAAUCAUAGCGCCCUAUAUAUCUGCACAAGCGCGCCUUAAAUUAUACGAACUCUUAGAACAGCUUGACAGGCGUGUAUUGUACUACGAUACCGACAGUGUGAUAUACGUAAGUCGGGAAGGACAAUGGGAACCGCACAUCGGGGAUUACUUGGCAGAACUUACGAAUGAAUUGGAAUCAGACAACCACAUCGUCACAUUUGUGUCUGGGGGACCAAAAAAUUACUCAUACAAAUUAGCAAAGUCAGAUAGGAAUGGAAAUUUAACUCAUUGUAAAGUUCGGGGAAUUAGACUGAAUUAUCGUAACGACUGUUUAGUCAACUUUAGAAGCAUGUUAAAAAUGGUUCAGGGUGAAGGUCCAAAGAAAAUACAAGUCACAGACCCCUACAAGAUUGUAAGGGAAAAGAAGAAUAUGAAUAUCGAAACACGAGAAGAGAAAAAAUGUACCAAGUUGUAUACACAAAACGGGUACCUAUAGGCAAUUAUGACACCUUACGGUUAUUAGUUUCUAAUUAACAGUUUACUAAGUCAUAUCGGUACUUUUUGAUGUAGGUAUGAUUAAUAGUUAUGUUUGUAUUCUGAUGACAAACGUUUUAUCUUUCAUAGUGGAUAUUUUGUAUAUUAUAAUUUUUAAUUAGUAGUAGGCCUACUAGUACAAUUGCAAGGAAUAUUUGCUCAAUGUAUAAAGAAUCGUUUGUACCGUUCUGCUAUAUUCAUGCAAAUUCAGAAAGGUUAUUGUAGACAAUUGCGCCGCUGUCGAAUUCAACAUCUUACAAACCUGCAUCACUUUAUAUUUUGUAAAUAUUG